GUGCCAGCCGCCGCGGUAAUACCGGCAGCCCAAGUGAUGGCCGAUCUUAUUGGGCCUAAAGCGUCCGUAGCUGGCUGCGCAAGUCCGUCGGGAAAUCCACUCGCCCAACGAGUGGGCGUCCGGCGGAAACUGUGCGGCUUGGGACCGGAAGAUCCAAGGGGUACGUCCGGGGUAGGAGUGAAAUCCCAUAAUCCUGGACGGACCACCGAUGGCGAAAGCACCUUGGAAGGACGGAUCCGACAGUGAGGGACGAAAGCUAGGGUCUCGAACCGGAUUAGAUACCCCAGUAGUCC
This 293-nucleotide ribosomal RNA is filed under the name uncultured bacterium. RNAcentral describes it as "partial 16S ribosomal RNA". It matches the Rfam family "Archaeal small subunit ribosomal RNA", at positions 455 to 747 of the family's 1478-position model. The record is from RNAcentral.